CUAGACAGGCGGGCCUCGAUCCCGCAAAAAAUUAAUUAACAGCUAAACACCCAAUCCAGCGGGCUUCUGUCUG
This 73-nucleotide transfer RNA is filed under the name Sceloporus magister (desert spiny lizard). RNAcentral describes it as "tRNA-Asn". Lineage: Eukaryota; Metazoa; Chordata; Lepidosauria; Squamata; Phrynosomatidae. The record is from RNAcentral.